This 129-nucleotide ribosomal RNA is filed under the name Gigaspermum mouretii. RNAcentral's name for it is "5.8S ribosomal RNA". It matches the Rfam family "5.8S ribosomal RNA", at positions 31 to 154 of the family's 154-position model. Rfam says of the family: 5.8S ribosomal RNA (5.8S rRNA) is a component of the large subunit of the eukaryotic ribosome. It is transcribed by RNA polymerase I as part of the 45S precursor that also contains 18S and 28S rRNA. Lineage: Eukaryota; Viridiplantae; Streptophyta; Bryopsida; Gigaspermales; Gigaspermaceae. The record is from RNAcentral.
AGCUUUUCGAUGAAGAACGCAGCGAAAUGCGAUACGUAGUGUGAAUUGCAGAAUUCCGUGAAUCAUCGAGUUUUUGAACGCAAGUUGCGCCCGAGGCUUGUCCUCGGGCAUCUCUGCCUGAGCGUCAUC